This 208-nucleotide ribosomal RNA is filed under the name uncultured Syntrophomonadaceae bacterium. RNAcentral's name for it is "partial 16S ribosomal RNA". It matches the Rfam family "Bacterial small subunit ribosomal RNA", at positions 568 to 775 of the family's 1533-position model. The record is from RNAcentral. Lineage: Bacteria; Bacillati; Bacillota; Clostridia; Eubacteriales; Syntrophomonadaceae.
CACGUAGGCGGGAAUUUAAGUCAGAUGUGAAAGACCGGGGCUCAACUCCGGGGUUGCAUUUGAAACUGGAUUUCUUGAGGGCAGGAGAGGAAAGCAGAAUUCCUGGUGUAGCGGUGAAAUGCGUAGAAAUCAGGAGGAAUACCAGUGGCGAAGGCGGCUUUCUGGACUGUCCCUGACGCUGAGGUGCGAAAGCGUGGGUAGCAAACAG